GGAUGUCCUUCCUGGCUUGUUACUGUGUGCUGGACACUGAGAAUCAUCCUCACUAACCAUUGGACACUCUUUGCUGUGGGGAGGCUGAUGUCCAACCUCUAGGACUGAGUAAGGGUUGGGCACCAGCUCUGGAGCUAGCUCUAAAACAGUCUUUUAUAGAGCCACUGCCGGAAGAGUGUGUGGACAUUCCCAGGCUCCUGAAUGUUAAACACACCAUAACCUUCUGAAGCCACAGAAUUGAAUGACGAUGGUCUCAGAGGAGAGGAAGCAGCUCUGGCUGAUGUUGGAGCUCCUGCCCACUUCAUAGCCAUCCAGCCCUUCCCAGCUCUCCUGGAUCUUCCCCUGGGCUCAGAUGCAGUCAAGGCCAGCUGUGGAUCCCGACACACAGCUGUGGUGACACGAACAGGAGAACUCUAUACCUGGGGCUGGGGUAAAUAUGGACAGCUUGGCCACAGGGACAGCACCAGCUCGGACCAGCCCUGCCGUGUGGAAUACUUUGUAGAAAGACAACUUGAAGUAAGGGCUGUUACAUGUGGACCCUGGAAUACCUAUGUCUAUGCAGUGGAGAGAGAGAGAACAUCUGAACUAUAUCUCAGGUGGAUCCCCAGGCUGCUUAUGUACCUGGGUGAGAAUGAACUCUUGCUUCAACAUGCUGUCCUGGGUGCAUGGAAACAAGGCCACAGCGAUCUCCCCGCCUCCUCAGUGCUGGGAUUAAAGGUCAAGAUUUGAAUCAUCAAAUGUCCCUACAGCCAUGCCUUUGUGCCUCCAUGAUGGACUCUAAUCAUCUGAAGUUGUUUUAUACUGUAAGCUCCUACAUGUGGCUAACUGAUUCACUCGGAAAACUUCUCAGUAACGAGGCAUGGUGCUGUUCUUGAGUUCUCCAGAUCGUCCUGGAGCAGUGGGCCAGAUGGUGAUCCCCUUUGAAGAAGCAAGCUCUCAUGGAUUCCCGAAUUCCAGAGUAAUUAACUUUAGCAACACACUGAGUGCUUCUGAAAGCAGACUUUUCUGAAGACAAGACUCUGAUGGAAGCCAGCCAUGUUGAGCCCUUUGACUGCAGCUCUAAGUCGAGGACCUAACUCAGUCUGCUCAGUGCGUGCAUGCAUACACCUGGAAAAUGAAUGGUAACAUCAGUUACUUGGUUUGCUGUGUUAAUUAGAAGAGAGUACUAUCUCACACUGAUAUUCUCUUAAGACUAUAUCAUUCUUAAGAAUAUACAAUUUUGGAAACCAACAUAGAAAAGUACGAUAAAAGAUAUCACAGUUUAUGAAUCUCAAAAUCAUAAUACCUGACGCCUUCUGGAAGUGUCUACUGUGGUCCAUUCCUCCUGACUAUUAUUCAGUCUCAUUUUCCCCCUAUUAGUUAUGCUGACCCCACUAAAGACAAGGAACAUUGUACUGCUUAGGACAGAAUUCUUAAAGCAGAAUACAGGCAAAGUGGAUGAGACUCAGGCUAUAGAGAUCUUAAGCUCACCUGAAAAAAAAAUCCCACAAUAGGAGGGAAAUUGAAUUAACAAAGGCCAGGUGGAUAUUACUUAUUAGCCCAGUCAAGAUGAGAUUUAUAACAGGAAACUGAGCUCUCUGCCUUGGAUUUGUUUUCUUUUGUCAUGGCCUCAUUCCAAGUCAUAUUCUUUCCUCAUUAAGAUAAGACAUGAACCCCAUCUGACAUCAGAUGUUCACAAGGCUCGACCUGUCCUCCUUCACUGAGGAGGACCAUGGUAGAGAUGUUAAUUCUAUACCCAUAUCAAGUUUUCUUUCUGGAUGCCCGGGAGGGCUGUAUUUCCAGGGUUUCCUUAUAGCUGGGCUGAGGCCAAGGGGAUGGAUGAAUAGGAGGGAUGAGAGAACGGCAUCACUACCUGGCUGUGUUAAAGACAAUGCUUCAUUCCUUAUACCCAAAUCUCUCUUUCCUUUGCCGUUAUGUCUUACCGGCCCCAUGGUUCAGAUGGAGAAAGGACAACACAGUAAAGGUUUGAGCAAACUGAGGUGGGUGUGUCGUGGGCAACAAAUAAAGCUGGAUUAUAUUAAAGUGCUGAAGUAUGAACUUAAUUAUUUGUACCUUCCAUCUGGUCUAGCCUACACAACUUGAUAUGCAAAUCACUUUCCCGGUUUCCCAACAGCUAACUUAGCACAUUAGGGUUGUUCUUAUACCCAGCAGCUGUAGGAUACUUCUAGCAAUGGCAGUUGCUCGUAAGGAAAGCCAUCCCCAGGUGAUUGGAAAUGUGAAAAAACACACCCUAAGGACAUUACUUGUCUUUUGAGAGAUUCAUUAUGAUACAUCAUGGUCAAUAUCCCCAGUCAUGAGUUCAACUCUUGCCCAAAAGUCAACCAAGAAGUUCAGAGAUAACUGAUCCAAAACCAGAAUUUUGGUGUGCAUUUGCCAGCACAGAUUCUCUGGACAUUUUUAGUCCACUAAACAAAUACUUCGUUAACCUGAAAAUUUUUAUAUUACUUACACUGGUUUCAUGUCUGUGAAUUUAUAUGACUCAGUUUUGUGUGUCUGUUUAAAAAUAUGAGGGCUCAAUGUAAAUUCCUUAUUUUUCUGCUAAUAACAUGCUUUGUUUCUGCUUUGCUUUUUAUUAAACGUUAAUACAUUUAUAUUGGAGAAGAAGUCAAUCCUUUCCUUUGCAAAUCCCACGGAAGUAGAGAGUUAGACUCCAGAGAUCAUGAUUAGCAUCAUAGUGUGUAAGCUUUUCUACAUUAGUAUUAUCCCGGGGACAAUUUUCAUUAUAGAAAAUCUUCUUGUUCUGAGGAAAUGGGAUGAGGAAUGUUAGCACGAGACUGUGAGAAAAUUCCGUUCUCUGUACUAGCCUUUUAAUGAUACGAGGGGAGACAUCUUUCGUGGUGUACUUUUCGUUGUUUAUGAAUUUUAAACCACCGGGGAGCAUUCUGCUUCCUCAAUUAGACAACAGCUAGGAAUAUAACUAAUAUUUCUCUUAAGGUUAUUUUUCUCAUUGGCAGUUACAUUUUUAUACUUUAAGUUGAAGAGACCAAAAAAGAGCUUUUUUUUUUUCUUUUGGUGUGUGUAGAAUUGAGCUAAAUUAGUAAAUUGUCUAAAUUAGUAGCAGCAACAAAGCAGUGCUGACAAUUCCGCACCCACAGGAGUCCUGCAGGAGCCAGCAGGUGCCAGAGCUCACCUCACAGACUCCAGCACUUACUUUGCCACAGUAGUAUCUGUCACUUUCUCUCCCUUGAAGACUUGUUCUGACAUUGGCAUUUUAACUGUCCUAUUAUGGUGAACACACUUGUCAUUGCUGUCCUUACAGCUUCUUUAUUAAGGGUGGAACUCGAAGACUUUACAUAAUCUGAUUUUUUCAAAAUACAGCUGUAAUUCUCUGAUUUUUAACUGGGCUGCCUCACCCUUCCACAGUCAAUGCUCUCAUAUGGUUAGGCCUAUCCCUACCAUUUUUGCCUUUUGUUUUCUAUAUAACUCAGAUUUAGUUUUUUGUUAGAUUUUUUUUUAAAAAAAUAGCUUACUUCUCUCCUUUAUUAUAUUCUGCCUAUGUGAAAUUUCAAGUGGAAUCUUUUUCUUAAAUUUGUUGCAUUAUUUUUAAGUUAAAAUUUAAAAUUUAAGGAUUAAAUAAACAUACUUUUAUUUUAAUUAGAAGCUAGUUUAGGCUUCGAAGUCCCUCAACACCGUCAACCUCUGCAAUGGAUGUACAUGGCUCUGUACAUCUUAUACCAGAGCAUUAGUCUUCUCGCCAAGCCUCCUCCUUCCCCAAGGGUCACUAAAGUCCUUGGCUAGUGCCGACGGAAUCCUGUUUGACUCUGUGAUCACCAUUUAUUGAGCAAUUUUUAAACCAAAUCUUCACAGUUACACUGCCUAGAAUCUAUCCCAACAAGCAUGUCCCCUUUCUCCUGCCUACUUCCUACCCCUCUUACUGUCACUUAAGCAUUCCAGCAAAUGUCCCCAUUCGUAAUUAUUUCCAUUAUUGUCGUGUCUGAAAUUAUACUGUUUUUCUUGAUGACCGAAGAGAAAAAUACCAUCUGCUGAGAGAGCCCAGGCUCCUUUGGUCUUUAAUUAACAUGCAAAGUCUUUUAUCAUUGCAUUCUUUUCCUGUUUGACAUGAAAAUGUCUUGGGCUUCUUAUGUUGAAAUAUAUACUCAGGAAUAAUAUUUAGCCUCCAUUAAAGCCUUUAAAUCACCAGCUCCAUCUUUUUAUUCUUGUUUCUAGUGCUGCCUACAAUAUGAUCCCAUUUCCCACCUUCUGUCGGGGAUAACUCUCUCUAAAGGAACACCACCUGUGGCCUCUUGAGAGCCGAACUCCACAGAUGGCACAUUUAUGUAGCAUGGUCCCUACAAAUGUACCAGCUCGUGGUAUUUUAAGGUUCCCACUUCUUCUUUUAGAGCUGGACAAGUCCCUCUAGACUGAGUGAGGAUGGCCCUGGAAAAUGACAUCUUGUUUUGACAGCAUGAUAUGAAUUUCUCUGGGAAGGCACAGGAUUGGUUUAUAUAUUUGUAAAUUAGAAGUUAGGGCAAAACUUUAUAAAUUAGGAACUUUAUAGAUUAGGGCAAAAAUGUAUAAAUUCGACGUUUGGAAGUGAGGAAAGAGUAAGCUUCUCUGUAUUUUUAUGGCUGAUUCUCAUUAGUUGUCGAAAUGGGAAUACUUGCUUCUUUGUGAUAAUGUGAGAGAACGGUGAGUGCUAAUAGGUUUGGAUUGCCCUGUUGUCUGACACAGGGCCCCAGAAGACUGGUCUCCUCUAGUAGUAACAGUAACAUUUCUGAGAAUAAUUGCCAAGGCUACUCUGACCCAUGGUGUUCCAGUAGUACACAGGCGUGACCAGAGAUAGUAGCCUCUGACAAUUGCCUUGAAAUACAAUAAAGGUCUUCACUAUGGUCACUGUCAUUGGGACUUCCGGUAAGAUUUCCGCCUCAGACUAUGGUGUGCUCACCUGUAAAAUAGGAAAAUAGCACAAUUCAGUUGCCACAGGGCUCAGUUAAAUCCAACAUACGCAGUGCUUAAUAAAUGGUAACAGUUUUUCCAGUAAACAUAUGACUGGUUUUUGGUCAUCUACGUGUCAGACACCAAGCUACACUGAUUGGCAGCUGUCAAAGUGCAAAGCACAGUUCCAACAUCCAAGGAGCUUACCACUCUGUAAAAGGAACAAAAGAAAUCACUCCCCAAAGACUCCACAUGGACAGACCCAGGGCUCCAGCUGCAUAUGGAGCACAGGAUGGCCUUGUUGGGCACCAGUGGAAGGAGAAGCCCUUGGUCCUGCCAAGGUUGGACCCCCAGUGCAGGGGAAUGUUGCAGGGUGGUGGUAAGGGGGUGUGGAUGGGGGAGAACCUUUAUGGGGGAGGGGGAGGAGAUAGGGGGCUUAUGGACAGGAAACUGGGAAAGACAGUAACAUUUGAAAUGUAAAUAAAGAAAUAUAUCCAAUUUAGAAACAAAGCCUUUUAUACUGACGUCUGUGUCUCUGCAGGUGCUCUGAUGGUAGAGAGAGGGAACAGAAGACAGUGAGUUGAAGAUGGGGUGGACAGUGGAGACCUCCGUGUCCCUCAUGGAAUGCAAGCAUCUGAAAUUCUUUAUCUCCAGCACGAGUUUAUAGGAACAGGUCAUAUUUUGUUGUUUUAGAGAUGAUGAAGUCUGUGCUGUUAUCAAGUCAUAAGAUGUAAUUGAGGCAGUUUCUGGGAUUCUUCUCUUGCUCUGGUGCCCAAGGUCUUUGCUACAGAAGCUUGAUUCCUUUCAAAGUUGCAAGGAGGCUAAAAUUUACAGACUGGAUUUUAGCAUAAAUUUAGAAUGGAACCGACUUUAUGGUAAGAGCAUGAAAGGAAGCAGUUACUGCCCUUUCUUAUCUCAGGUACUGAAAGGAGAACUCAUCGUCGCUCCACCAGAACUAUUUAAAUGUGUUAAGAAUGCUGUUUGCACAUUUGAUUGUAUUAGAAGGCAUCAAUAAAAGCUUUCCAGAAAGAGUUUUCUCAUCAGAAACAAAAGAGACAGGAAUACAUUUGUAACUAUGGAGACAUUCUCUCCAUGUUUUUUCACACUUAGAAGGUACAAGCUUUCAUAUCAGGUGAUAAGGAAAAUGUGGACACAAUCACCUAUUUCUUAUUAAUAACCAGUUUUUAAUAAGAAAGAGAAACUUAUCUGGAGACUAUCCCUUUAAGUAACUACAUUAAAAGCAGCUAUGUAAUUAUUACUCAAGUCCUAGUGUAAUUGAACCUGAUUUGAACAAAGUUUUCCUAUCAUAAUAAGAUCUGAGAAGCAAAUGGAGACGGGUAAUAGGCUUUUCAGACUGGUCAUCUGGUGUCACUCUGGAAACAAUGGAGAGCUAUUCCUUAGAAUACUGUCUGAGGGACAUUGUGCAGACCAGUCUGAAAUGGCCUCAUUGGAAAAUCACAUGCCCAUUUUAAUUUUCACCUCACGGUCUCAACAGUGACUGGUCGUCUACUGAACCAUUUGCUGUACAUCAAGAUGGCAAGUAAAAGAUUGCCAUGCUCGAAGGAGAGCUGGUUCUGAAUUAUCUCUGUAUCUGUACAGAAAAAGGAAAAAAAGGCUCUUAAUUUUCCAAUACACAUAGUUUAAUUAGCAAUGCAUUAUUUAUUUAAACGUUGAUGCUAGGAUCUGAAGAUUUUCAGGAAACAAGUAGAUUUUUUUCUUUUUCUUUUCUUUUUUAUUAUGUAUUUUUAUUUUGUAUUUGUAUUUUUUAUUAUGUAUUUCUUUACUUAUAUUUCAAAGGUUAUUCCCCUUCCUGGUUUCCUGUCCAUAAGCCCCCAUUCCCUUCCCUCCCCCUCCCCCAUAUGGGUAUUCUCCCUAUACAUCCCCCUAAUUGCCCUCCCCCAUAUUUUCCUGCACUGGGGGGUCCAACCUUGGCAAGACCAAGGGCUUUCCUUUCCACUGGUGCCCCAACAAGGCUACAUAUCCAGUUGGAGCCCUGGGUCAGUCCAUGUAUAGUCUUUUGGUAGUGGCUUAGUCCCUGGAAGCUCUGGUUGGUUGGCAUUGUUGUUUUUAUGGGGUUGCAAGCUCCUUCAACUCUUUCAAUCCUUCCUCUAUUUCCCCCCAAGGGGGUCCUAUUCUCAGGUCAGUGGUUUGCUGCUAGUAUUGACCUCUGUAUUGGACAUGCU
Non-coding RNA from Rattus norvegicus (Norway rat), 7058 nucleotides. The record is from RefSeq and is a predicted model, not a curated record. Lineage: Eukaryota; Metazoa; Chordata; Mammalia; Rodentia; Muridae.